GAUGAACGCUGGCGGUAUGCUUAACACAUGCAAGUCGAACGGACUCUUCGGAGUUAGUGGCGGACGGGUGAGUAACGCGUGAGAAUCUGGCUUUGGGUUCGGGACAACCACUGGAAACGGUGGCUAAUACCGGAUGUGCCGAGAGGUAAAAGAGAAAUUGCCUGAAGAUGAGCUCGCGUCUGAUUAGCUAGUUGGUGAGGUAAAGGCUCACCAAGGCAGCGAUCAGUAGCUGGUCUGAGAGGAUGACCAGCCACACUGGGACUGGGACACGGCCCAGACUCCUACGGGAGGCAGCAGUGGGGAAUUUUCCGCAAUGGGCGAAAGCCUGACGGAGCAAUACCGCGUGAGGGAAGAAGGCUCUUGGGUUGUAAACCUCUCUUCUUAGGGAAGAACAAAAUGACGGUACCUAAGGAAUCAGCAUCGGCUAACUCCGUG
This 435-nucleotide ribosomal RNA is filed under the name uncultured bacterium. RNAcentral describes it as "partial 16S ribosomal RNA". It matches the Rfam family "Bacterial small subunit ribosomal RNA", at positions 28 to 507 of the family's 1533-position model. The record is from RNAcentral.